Molecule: ribosomal RNA, 260 nt
Filed under: uncultured bacterium
Lineage: Bacteria
Description: partial 16S ribosomal RNA
Rfam family: Bacterial small subunit ribosomal RNA
Source: RNAcentral
GAGUUUGAUCUUGGCUCAGGAUGAACGCUGGCGGCGUGCCUAACACAUGCAAGUCGAACGGAGAGUUUUUGAUGAAGCUUCGGCGGAAUUAAAGAUUUCUUAGUGGCGGACGGGUGAGUAACGCGUGGGUAACCUGCCUUAUACAGGGGGAUAACAGUCAGAAAUGACUGCUAAUACCGCAUAAGCGCACAGGACCGCAUGGUCCGGUGUGAAAAGCCGAGACGGUAUAAGAUGGACCCGCGUCUGAUUAGCUGGUUGGU